Gossypium raimondii (Peruvian cotton) is the source of this 146-nucleotide non-coding RNA. Lineage: Eukaryota; Viridiplantae; Streptophyta; Magnoliopsida; Malvales; Malvaceae. The record is from Rfam.
UAUUAAAAAUAUUAUCUAUUUGUACUGUAAAAAUUGGCAUAACUGAUAGAAUAACUAAAGAGUAACACAUAGUGUGCCAUGUGUGUACCUUAUAUUGAUGUAUAAUGUCCAGUUUUUAAUAGUAAAAAUAUAUGAGGUUUUUAAUA